RNAcentral lists this ribosomal RNA (277 nucleotides) under Bacteroides stercoris ATCC 43183. RNAcentral describes it as "partial 16S ribosomal RNA". It matches the Rfam family "Bacterial small subunit ribosomal RNA", at positions 502 to 776 of the family's 1533-position model. Lineage: Bacteria; Pseudomonadati; Bacteroidota; Bacteroidia; Bacteroidales; Bacteroidaceae. The record is from RNAcentral.
UAUGGUUGCCAGCAGCCGCGGUAAUACGGAGGAUCCGAGCGUUAUCCGGAUUUAUUGGGUUUAAAGGGAGCGUAGGCGGGUUGUUAAGUCAGUUGUGAAAGUUUGCGGCUCAACCGUAAAAUUGCAGUUGAUACUGGCGACCUUGAGUGCAACAGAGGUAGGCGGAAUUCGUGGUGUAGCGGUGAAAUGCUUAGAUAUCACGAAGAACUCCGAUUGCGAAGGCAGCUUACUGGAUUGUAACUGACGCUGAUGCUCGAAAGUGUGGGUAUCAAACAGG